GGAAGGGGAGGAGGGGUAGUGGAGGCAGCCGCCGGCCUCGAGGCACCCCUGCACGAGGUCGGCGUCCAUGGCGAGAGGUGUGGGUGGAGUGCGGAGCGGGAGGGACUGGAGGAUGGAGGAGGAGGCGGCGGCAGAGAUGGAUGUGGGGAGGGAGGGGAGGAGGAGUAGUGGAGGCAGCCGCCGGCCUCGAGGCAGCGCUGCACGAGGUCGGCAUCCAUGGCGAGAAGUGCGGGUGGAGUGCGGACGAAGGAAGGAAGGGGCGACGACAGACAGGGGUCGCGGCUUGCUUGGGAUGUUGGAGCCGCCGCUGCUGCAUGCUUCGCGUGUGGGACUGGACUGACUCUCUC
This 347-nucleotide long non-coding RNA is filed under the name Oryza brachyantha (malo sina). Its description in RNAcentral is "long non-coding RNA (OBRA_LNC002600)". The record is from RNAcentral. Lineage: Eukaryota; Viridiplantae; Streptophyta; Magnoliopsida; Poales; Poaceae.